GUUUUGGGGGGGGGGGGUUUAAUGGUUUAUUCACAGACUAGUUAGCAGCAGAUCCUGUGGUUACUUUCCUGAAAGAGGAAGUACUUACCUACUGGCCCAGUUUCUUAUUUGCACAAUGUCUGUGACUGUUGCAGUGGAAAAAGCUUGUGGAUUUGGUUAUUGUGCUCUCCUUCUACAGGACUUUAAGAGAAGCUUGUGAAGGUAGCUGGGGAUUUUGAUCGUGCUCUAACUCACUGCAGCCUACCCAGCACAUCCAGGCCGGCUUCAGCACUUCCAAGAGAACAUGCAGAACCAGCCUUCCUGGGGACAGGGACGCAACAAAUGCUGCCUCUAGCCAGGGCGUUCUGCCUUCCAUUCCUCUACACCAGGGUGUUACUGAAGGUGCAAGAGUGCACAAAAAGUUGCUUCAUGCACCUGAAAGACGAGCUAAGGGUUCUCCCCACCCAGAGUUGGGCUUUUCAUUGGGGAAG
Long non-coding RNA from Gavialis gangeticus (Gharial), 470 nucleotides. RefSeq lists it as uncharacterized. The record is from RefSeq and is a predicted model, not a curated record. Lineage: Eukaryota; Metazoa; Chordata; Crocodylia; Gavialidae. The transcript has 2 exons.